UUCUCUUACCCUAACAAACAAAAAAAAAAAAAUGAAAAUUGACUCCUAUGGAUUCCAGGAGGCGUAUAUUCAAGAAUUCAGGGUAUACCUACGUUAAAGAUUUGAAGUGUUUUAAUACGAGUACCUACUUAAACCUAAUGUAUAAAUGUAAAUUAACUAUUUCUUGACACGCUGAAUAAUAUAUAGCAUAUAUUAUAAUAAUACUAUCCAGAGGUAUAAUUGUUUUCGG
Non-coding RNA from Cinara cedri, 229 nucleotides. The record is from the annotation of a GenBank genome assembly. Lineage: Eukaryota; Metazoa; Arthropoda; Insecta; Hemiptera; Aphididae.